CUAGUAUGCAUUUUUGUAGUAGGGAAUGAAGGGCAGCAAAGAGAACCCUUUGUUUUUCCACCUUUUUAGUUAUGUUUUUCAGUAGCUCUGAGACAAAGGGAGGAGACCCACCCCAAAAGCUCACAACAGACUCAGCUUUUUCUAAGGUAAAAAAAAAAGAACCCCCAAAGAACCAUAAGUGGAAAGGGCUGAUUUGAACCUAGAUUGCAGAAAGCCACUACAUUUUUGGUCCUUAUCACCAACAACCAUGUCCAAACCAGUGUGACUUGAAAGGAUUAGGGGCUGUUUUACAUGUAUUUACUGCUAAGGUGUUCCUGGUGAGUGCAGUUUGAAAGGGUUGUGUUGUGUGUGACAGAGGGUGAUUGAAGUACAGUUGGGUUAGUGUGAGAGAGGUGCAUUGCUCAGGGGUCAUUGUGCUUUAAAAGGGCUGUUCUGUAUGACUAGGGAGUUGUGAGAGUGUGACAUAUGUCAAUUGAAAUAAGGGUAUUAUGACAGAUGUAUAUUAUUCAGGGGUCUGGUUUAAAAGGGCUGUUGUGUGUGAAUUGCAGUUGGGGUAUUGUGACAGAUGUAUAUUAUUAAGAGGUCUGGUUUAAAAGGGCUCUUGUGUGUGAAUUGCAGUUGGGGUAUUGUGACAGAUGUAUAUUAUUAAGGGGUCUGGUUUAAAAGGGCUGUUGUGUGUGGAUUGCAGUUGGGGUAUUGUGAUGUAUAUUAUUCAGGGGUCUGGUUUAAAAGGGCUGUUGUGUGUGAAUUGCAGUUGGGGCAUUGUGACAGAUGUAUAUUAUUCAGGGGUCUGGUUUAAAAGGGCUGUUGUGUGUGGAUUGCAGUUGGGGUAUUGUGACAGAUGUAUAUUAUUCAGGGGUCUGGUUUAAAAGGGCUGUUGUGUGUGAAUUGCAGUUGGGGCAUUGUGACAGAUGUAUAUUAUUCAGGGGUCUGGUUUAAAAGGGCUGUUGUGUGUGGAUUGCAGUUGGGGUAUUGUGACAGAUGUAUAUUAUUAAGGGUCUGGUUUAAAAGGGCUGUUGUGUGUGGAUUGCAGUUGGGGUAUUGUGACAGAUGUAUAUUAUUCAGGGGUCUGGUUUAAAAGGGCUGUUGUGUGUGAAUUGCAGUUGGGGUAUUGUGACAGAUGUAUAUUAUUCAGGGGUCUGGUUUAAAAGGGCUCUUGUGUGUGAAUUGCAGUUGGGGUAUUGUGACAGAUGUAUAUUAUUCAGGGGUCUGGUUUAAAAGGGCUCUUGUGUGUGAAUUGCAGUUGGGGUAUUGUGACAGAUGUAUAUUAUUCAGGGGUCUGGUUUAAAAGGGCUCUUGUGUGUGAAUUGCAGUUGGGGUAUUGUGACAGAUGUAUAUUAUUCAGGGGUCUGGUUUAAAAGGGCUGUUGUGUGUGAAUUGCAGUUGGGGUAUUGUGAUGUAUAUUAUUCAGGGGGUCUGGUUUAAAAGGGCUCUUGUGUGUGAAUUGCUGUUGGAGUAUUGUGAUGUAUAUUAUUCAGGGGUCUGGUUUAAAAGGGCUGUUGUGUGUGAAUUGCAGUUGGGGCAUUGUGACAGAUGUAUAUUAUUCAGGGGUCUGGUUUAAAAGGGCUCUUGUGUGUGAAUUGCUGUUGGGGUAUUGUGAUAUAUAUUAUUUAGGAGGUCUGGUUUAAAAGGGGUCUUGUGUGUGAAUUGCUCUUGGGGUAUUGUGAUAUAUAUUAUUCAGGGGUCUGGUUUAAAAGGGCUAUUGUGUAGGAAUUGCAGUUGGGUGUGUAUAACAGAUAAGUGUGGUUCAGGGAUUUUUUUCAACAGAGCUCCUGCAUAUGAAUUGGUGUAGAGUGUGUGUAAUAAACGUGUGGGUUUUGGGAUUUUAGUUUGAAAGGGUUGUUGUGUAUGAAUUGAAGCUGAGAGCAUGUGACAGAUUAGUUUUGGCUCAGGGGAUCUCAUUUGAAAGGGCCAUAUUGGAAUGGACUGUUGUUGGGGGCUGUAUGAUAAACAGGUAGGGAUCAGGUUUU
Molecule: long non-coding RNA, 1970 nt
Filed under: Octopus vulgaris (common octopus)
Lineage: Eukaryota; Metazoa; Mollusca; Cephalopoda; Octopoda; Octopodidae
Source: RNAcentral